RNAcentral lists this ribosomal RNA (253 nucleotides) under uncultured bacterium. Its description in RNAcentral is "partial 16S ribosomal RNA". It matches the Rfam family "Bacterial small subunit ribosomal RNA", at positions 524 to 776 of the family's 1533-position model. The record is from RNAcentral.
GACGAAGGGGGCUAGCGUUGUUCGGAAUUACUGGGCGUAAAGCGCGCGUAGGCGGCUUUGCAAGUCGGGUGUGAAAUCCCCAGGCUUAACCUGGGAACUGCAUUCGAGACUGCAUUGCUAGAGUAUGGGAGAGGGAAGUGGAAUUUCCGGUGUAGCGGUGAAAUGCGUAGAUAUCGGAAGGAACAUCAGUGGCGAAGGCAGCUCGCUGGGACGGUACUGACGCUGAGGCGCGAAAGCGUGGGGAGCAAACAGG